AACCUUAUGGACCUGCGGGCGUAUACCUGCGGAGGGAUCAUUACCGAGUUUACAACUCCCAAACCCCUGUGAACAUACCUAUACGUUGCCUCGGCGGAUCAGCCCGCGCCCUGUAAAAAGGGACGGCCCGCCCGAGGACCCUAAACUCUGUUUUUAGUGGAACUUCUGAGUAAAACAAACAAAUAAAUCAAAACUUUCAACAACGGAUCU
This 210-nucleotide unclassified non-coding RNA is filed under the name soil metagenome. RNAcentral describes it as "partial contains 5.8S ribosomal RNA, internal transcribed spacer 2, and large subunit ribosomal RNA". The record is from RNAcentral.